AAAUUCCCCUUUUCUAUUUUUAGAUAUUAUAUAUAACUUGUUUGACCGUUCACUUUUCGCGGGGAUCGUUUUUCUCGUGCUUGAGAUUCAAUGUCCAGACUUGGAUAUUUAAACCUCGUCUGGACAAUAUUUCUUUAGAUUGGGGAAAACUUUCGUACUGUAUGCAGGUUUUCUACAAAAUGUCAAUAUGGUUUCAUAUCUAAAGCUGCUCUCAACAUGCAACUUCCAUAAAAACUCUGAUUAUCCAGUUAAAUAUGAAGCAAUGGCAAGCAGUUUAUGUAGAUGAAUUACAAGAACAGAAAAAAAAAGGUAACACAGAUAACAGAACAGUUAAUCCACCCCACGGCCUUCUACAUCUUCAAGAUAUAUUUACAUACAUACACAAUGAUAAACAAAACAAAAUGCUAUUACACUACAUGUGUACAAAAUUACAUAAUAUAUAGUACAGAUAGAUCAAUACCACUGACAUGAAAAAGUAUGACUACAGUAAAGUUAUAACAUUUUAACUACGAAAGGUUCUCUUCUUGUAUCUUUAAGAGAUAAGAUUGACAGUCUGCUUUAAAAAUAUUUACACUUUUACUUUCUUUCAAAUUUAAAGGCAAAGAAUUCCACAACAAGGUUCUAGAAUACUUAAAAGUUCAUUUACCAUAAUUUGUUCCAUAUCGUUGAACGAAUAUAUUAUUUUGGGUAGAUGAUCUUAAUGCAUAUUUAUUAACAGUUAAACAGCUUGAAAAUAGUUCAGAUAAAUAUUCAGGUGCUAGAGUAUUCAUACACUUAUAUGUUAUCACUGCCAUAAAAUAUUUAAUUCUAUUAUAAAUGGUAAGAAAUCCUAACUAUUUAAACAUAAUCGAUGAAGAGAUAUCAAACCAUACAUUCAAAAUUAUUCUUGCUGUCCGCUUUUGUAACUUAUAAGCUUUUCAAUAUUAGUCUUUGAAGCAUUUCCCCACACGGAACAGCAGAAAUCCAUAACUGAGAGUAUACAUCCGUUAUGAUAAAGUUUAAGAGCACUUACAUAUAUAGUACAGAUAGAUCAAUACCACUGACAUGAAAAAGUAUGACUACAGUAAAGUUAUAACAUUUUAACUACGAAGUUUUUGACUUCACUUUGAGUCUGCUCAUAAGAUGCAGUCUGCUUACAAUUACUGCACAGAGUUUGUCAAUUUGAUUUUCCCACGAAAGUGUUUUAUCGAUGUGGAUUCCUAACAGUUUUUGGUUAUGAACGACGUCUAUUUUGUGUUCAUCGUCAAAUUUGAUGUUUAAUUCUGAUUCAAAGGGAUUUAGUCUAUUAGAUCAAAUUAACAUGACCUUAGUCUUAUCAUUAUUCAAUAUCAUAUCAUUAUCAUUACACCAAUUCAUAACAUUACAAAAAUCUACAUUCAUCAAUUCAUGUAAUUCUGUUACCGAUUGAGAUGAAUUAUAUAAAGUUGUAUCAUCAGCAUAAAGCUCUGAAGAAACAUUUUGAAGCACAAGUGAUAAAUCAUUGAUAAAUAUUAUAAAAAAUAAAGGUCCUAAUAUGGAACCUUGUGGUACUCCUGAUUGAACCUCUCGGAAAUAAGAUUCAAUAUCAUUGAUCAUAACCUUCUGAAAUCUUCCUGAUAUUUAAAAUCCUUCUAUCCCCCGACACCAAAAAAAAAAAAAAUAUAGAAAAAUGUCAAAUCAAAUGAGGUUGAGUUAUUUACUUGCUAGACUAUAAUACAUUAGCGGUAUUUUAAGCUUAUUAUGGCAAAAUUGAAAUCAAAUUCACUGCUUAUAGCAAAAUAUCAUUCCAUUUUAGAAAUAUUUGAAACAAAACAAAAAUCUUAUUCUAAUUUUUUGUCAAAGUCGUAGCUAAUGACCCUUAUUGAUUUGAUGUUUGCUGGACUUCCAGUGGAAUUAAUACAUGCAUGGAAUUAAUACAUGCAUACUCAGAACGAAAACUUAUUUAAAUAAAACAACUAAUACAAUAUAAAGGUUCUGCAUGGUGGGACGAAGGAUUGCCGCUGGAAAACAAUGAAAAGUUGACUUGUAACAGAUCAAUUGCGGAACUCGCCAGGAGUUUUUGCGAGGGCUUUUUAACGUGCUGAGAGCAAGUUAUUCUCUCCACAAAAGGUAUUUAUUUUUAAUGUCCUCAUCGUGACCGGUCGUGACAGGGAAUUAAAUUUAUACAUCCGGCACUUCCAAACGGACUAUAUUUCCGUAAGUCAGGAACCAGAUGUUCAGUGGUUGUCGUUUGUUGAUGUGGUUCUUUAGUGUUUCUCGUAUAGAAUAGACCGUUGGUUUUCCUGUUUGAAUGGUUUUACACUUGUCAUUUUUGGGGCCCUUUAUAGCUUGCUGUUCGGCCCUACUUUGACCUAAAAUGGUUUACUUUUACAAAUUGUAACUUGAAUGGAGAGUUGUCUCAUUGGCACUCAUAACACAUCUGCUUAUAUCUCUAUAACCUUAAUGACGUUCUUUUGGGAAUAUGAAAACUGGAAUGGGUUAUUAUGCAUGUGUUGAGGUACUUGCAAAAAAACCUUUGAGUGAUUUUAGAUCUUUUAGGAUUGUCAACAUUUUUUUCUGCAGUAAUAAAAAAACAGCGUCCUUUGAGAAUACAUAAUUAUUCAGUAUGAUACGGACACCUUGAUAUCUAUGCUUCAUCAUAAAAUGUAUUUGAAGUAUUAAAAAUAAACCUCACCUUUUCCAUCAGAUUGUUCUUCGUCUGUUUCUCCGUCACAGUCGUUAUCUAUUUUGUCUCCCUCUUUCAUCUGGCUAGCCAGGCAAUCCUGCAAUUCAUAAUAAUAAAAAAAUGAUUGAUUAAAUAGUUUUCAAACACUGCAACAUUAAUAUUUAGCCCUUUUUACGUAGUGAUCAAUGGCGGAUUAUUAGGAGAAGAACGCUUCUUUGAUUGGAAAAUAUAUUCAUUUAUGCAUAAAAAAAGUGUAUAUCGGUACAUCUUCUGAUCUCGGGAAUUGUGCGCCUCAUUUCAAAAAUACUGGAUCCGCUCCGGUUAUGGUAUGUGGCUUCUCUUUCUGUAAUUUGUCAUUCAUAUUCUUUUCUAAGAUUUUUUAAAAAGAUUUUUACCAAACAAUAAAGGCCACAUAAAUAUGUCUGUUUCCACUUUACAUGAUAAAAUUGGUUCUAAUUUCCAACCAAUUCCAAACCAGUUUUAAUUUGUUUAAUAUAGGAAAAGACGGUGUAUACAUAGCAAACAUUUUAUAUGAAAACUAUGAAAUGGCCAACAUACUCAAGACCAUGCAUGCUAGUUGAUUGUUUUAUUAUUUGUACGACUUUGCCCCCAGCAGAGCUUUAGAAAAACAGUACAUUAACGGGUGUUACACGGACACUUUUUAGAUGAUACACGGACACUUUUUACUUGUUACACGGACACUUUUUUAUGAAUAGAAUCACUCGUACAUGAUCAGUGAGUUCAUGGGCACUUUAAAUUUCAAUUAGAUUUGAUCUUUUUGUUUCACCGACAUAUUUCCUGUCUUUUUUUUUAUUAAAAUAUUUACGUUGGCAUCAAUAACUAUAUUUUUUUUCAAACAAUUCCAGUAUAUUACUAUUCAUAUCAGUACACUAAGGGAUUGACCAUUUCACUUCAAAAGGUGGGCUAUGGUUUUUUUCCUAUAAACACUGAGACCCAAUUUUAUUAGAAAAGGAGAUGACAAAAUAAUGUUCUGAUUUCUGAUUUUCCGAAUACCGUAUAAAAUAGUGCUAAAAUCGAAAAAUAAAACGUUGAAAAACUAAAUAAUUGUCUUACUAAGAAAAAAAACAUAUCCCCCUUUUGAAGCUAAAUGGUCGGUCCGUAAAUGUAUUCUUUUUUCUCAAUAUAUAAACAUGAAUAGUAUUCUUUCUUGACAAUGCUGAAAGUAAUGAGUACGAACGUUUAAAUUUCAACAAAAAAGACAGGAAAUAUAUAUAUAUAUUAAAAUCAAAUCUAAUCAAAAGAUAAAUCCCUAUCAACUCACCAAU
This is a long non-coding RNA of Mytilus californianus (California mussel), 3930 nucleotides long. RefSeq lists it as uncharacterized. The transcript has 4 exons. Lineage: Eukaryota; Metazoa; Mollusca; Bivalvia; Mytilida; Mytilidae. The record is from RefSeq and is a predicted model, not a curated record.